AUCCAGCUGAUGAAUCCCAAAUAGGGCGAAACGCGUAUCCUGAAU
This 45-nucleotide non-coding RNA is filed under the name Schistosoma haematobium. Lineage: Eukaryota; Metazoa; Platyhelminthes; Trematoda; Strigeidida; Schistosomatidae. The record is from RNAcentral.